GUGCUCAUCAGUAGUCUCAAUCUGCUUUAUAAUGUCCUGCGUCUGUUGUAGCCAUGUCAAUAGCGGCUCUAGCAGCUAACUCUAUAACCAUACCCCUUAUCGCUUGUUAUUUCUAAGCGAGUCUCUGGCAUCAGCAUGUCAGACAUUGCAGCAUUCCAUCACUGGAUAAAGUUUACAGGUUAGAGUGGAGUACAAGUCUCUUAGCAUGAGUCAGUCAGUGUCCCCCUCCCAAAUAAGACAUUGAAUGAACACAAACCCCGAGAAUCACUAUAAGUCAUAGCUAGAAUCCAAUUUACACCAUUUAUAAACCCUUAAAAAAAAAAAACUUAUUCAAAGUUGACUCUACAUAGCAAGUGAUAGAGGCAGCAUUUUCCAUCAGGCGUCUUUAGUGGCAGACUAAAGGCAGAUAUCUGUGGCUCUCUGUCCCUCAGUCUCCCGGCCUGUUAGACUGGAGUAAAUAUAGCCUGUUUGGUUUGAGCCGGAGGAUAAACACAGAUGUUGAAUAGGCGCGCUCGCCACAGAGUGUUCAGACCAGGAGUUCCUUCCUCGGAGAGAGAGAGAGAGACUGACUAAGAGUUCUUUCCUCAAAGAGAGUCCCUUAGACCACGGCUUUGAGAGAUUUAUUACGCUAGAAACAUUUUAUUGUCCUUAGUUCGCUUCCUUAAGCUUGUAGUAAUCCAUACUGCCUGCACCAUAUGUGAGACGAACUGGGAAAACCCAUCGGUAGUCUUUAAAACAGCUGCUAGAAUUGUACGUGAAAGAAAACAUGAAUGUAUAUCUAAAAAAAAAUAACCUGGAAAUGUUUUCAUAUAGUCUACUUUCUAACCUUGCCUUGGCAUAAGGAGUUAGUUUAGAGCUAAAUGUGCUUUUCUUACGUUUAGAUCAAGAUUUUUUUGAAUACUGUAUCGAAUAGAGAUCGACUGAUGAAUCGGCACCGAUAAUCGGUUCGACAAGCGACGUGACUGAAUGUAUCAGUGGCUGUUUCAGUGAGAGAACAGUGGCGUGAGGAGAAGAGGACGAGGCUCGUAUUUAAACACAGCGAGUGAGUUUUCAUUUCCUAUUGUAGGCGGUUGUUUAAAUUCCGUUGAAGUAAUGUUAGUUUUCCAUCGUUUAUUCCAUACAGGAAUCUUUUUAAAUGCGAUUAUCUUUCAGAUUUUAAAAUGCUACUUUACUUAUUGUUGAGAUGUUGUUGUUGUCCCAUCUCUCAGUAGCAGCUAUUCAACGUUAGUCUGGUUAAAUUUUACACGCCGUAAUUGCACGUUAACCGGAGCCGUAUUCGCGUUGUCGCAUGCCCCCCUAUCUGACUUACGUACGGCAUGCUAGCACCGGUCGCCAACGAUCAUGUCGUGAUCAUCAGCUACUCGUCGAUGCCGCGUCACAGACACGUCGUGCACGUACCGAAGAAAGCCCUCGUUCCUGUAGGCUCCACAUGAAAGAAAGGGUU
Long non-coding RNA from Ictalurus punctatus (channel catfish), 1444 nucleotides. The record is from Ensembl. Lineage: Eukaryota; Metazoa; Chordata; Actinopteri; Siluriformes; Ictaluridae.